Molecule: RNA transcript, 3661 nt
Organism: Capsicum annuum
Lineage: Eukaryota; Viridiplantae; Streptophyta; Magnoliopsida; Solanales; Solanaceae
Gene name: probable protein phosphatase 2C 33
Exons: 4
Source: RefSeq, a predicted model, not a curated record
AUCAAUCUUAGGUGCAAAAAAAAAAUCAUAUAAUCUACAUGAUGUAUUUUAAUUUAAAGAACUUUCAAGUUUGAACUAAAUAUUGUUACUACUAUUUCUAAGAUUCGGUUUUUAUUCAUUAAGUUUGAAAAAAUCGGUUUUUAAAUGACACAUUGAAUCUUGGUUGGGUUCAAACGUUGGUAGCAACUAAGAUUCAAACGUUGGUGCAACAAUUAAUAACUCAAUAAUUUUUUUUAUAAAAUUAUUAAAAAUUUAUUAACUCAAUAAUCCAAUAAUAAUAAAUCAAUAACAUUUUUAUCGAUUCGAUUUAUCGAUCAGUUCAGUUUUUGCACAUCCCUAGAUGACAUAUUGAUUAAGAAAAAUAAUUAAUAACAUGACUAGUUUACCAUAGUACUCUUAUUAAAUGAUGUUUACAUUUUAAUUUGUAGAUAAAGUAAUUAAUGUAAAGAUUAAAACAUGUAUUUUUUUUUUUAUCUCUUCUUGAUUAGUGAAAAAAGAGAAGUAAAAUAAAAAAUUAAAUUAAGAAAUUUGAAACGGAGGGAAUAUUGCUUUUUACUGUUUUGAAUCUUCCAUGGGAAUUUAUUUACCCUAAAUAGAGGUUAAUGGACCAAAACCUCCAUUUUAAACAUGGAAGCUGAAGGUGGCUGGAAGUUAGUUGCUUUCCAGCUGACAGUUAGUUACACUAUAAAAAAAAUCGUGUUUAGCGACGGAUUUGUAGCAAUAAGGACAUUUUUGUCGCUAAUUAACGAUGAAAUUACAACAAAAUAGAACUUUUAUUGCUAAAUAAAUGAAAUUAAAAUUUGUAGCCUAAUUAGUAACGGAUUAGUGACAGAAAAUAAAAUUUAUUCCUAUAUUUUAGCGAAAAAUAUUGGCGCCUUAUUUUGGUGAUAAAAUUAGCGACUUAAAAGGUGAAUUUUUUUUUGACAUGAUGAAAAUGGAAAUAGCAACGAAAUUAUUGUCACUGACAUUAUUUUAUCAUUUUUUAAAAAUAUAUUAGUUAUUUUUUUAAUAAAUAAUUAGCAACGGAUUUUAUAUCAGUUGCUGAAUCCAUCACCUCACCAACUAAAUAUUAGGGCAAAGUCUUUUAUUUCACUUUGUUCCCAAAACAUAGUAUCAUCCGCCUCUCUCCAAAAACAAACUCUUCUUUCCCUUUUCUCUCAAUUGAGAAAAGAGAAUCGCUCAAUAUUAAUCGAAAAGAGAGUCAAUCGCUCAAUUUCGAAUCUAAAUUAGAGUUACGAUUCUAAAUCUCGUAAUGUGAGUUCUUUUUCCUCUUUCAAUUUCUUAAUUUUUAUGUUAGAAAUCACUUGUAAAUGAUAGGUUCAGGGUUGUUUGAGCUCUUUCACUUAGGUUUUCCUUACCAUUGUUGAUAUUAUAUGUCUUUAUGGUUAAUCGGUAGACAAUAGCAUGUACCAUAUUUUCUCGCUUAAUUGUCUCAGCGUAGUAUAAGAAAAUUUCCAUAUCUGCUUGGAUUUUUUAUUUUGAAUUUAAAAGAUGUCUGCGGACUUUAUUUUGGCUUAUUUUUAGUAAUUGAGUAUUAUUAAUGUGAUUAAAAGUCUAGAUUUGUAAAAACUAGAGAAAAAAUUUGCUUCUCUAAACUCAGAGGGGUGGUCGCAGAGAUGGAGACUAUCAUCAAGUUGUUCAUGUGUUGAUAUUUGCUGAGAGUGCAUAAGAACUACUUCUCCAAGGACGUGCUGAUUGCAAGGAUUCCUGGGUUGGUCAGUGGGAUAUCUUAAGUGUCGGUCAUAUACUCCUUUACAAUCUACAACUUGCUAAUUUUGAUGGGCUCCUCAUCAUUCCAUUUAUCGUCCUUCCUCUUUUCACGGCUGGGAAGGGGAGCCUUGGAGUAACUGGUAAAGUUGCUGCCAUGUGAUCAGUAGGUCACGGGUUCAAGCUAGAAAUAACAGCCCCGCGCAGAAAUGUAAGGUGAGGAUGCUUUCCCGAGGAUGUUCUGCGAGAAAAGUGAAGAUGUUCUAAGAGAGAUCAGUCUCAACACGGGGAGUAGCCUAUAUCUCGAGGAUGCUUUCCUCAUCGCUGGUGAGGAGUCAAGACUCUUCAUUGAUGUUGAAGAGACUGAAAAGCACCUAGAGGUAUUUCAAACAUUAAAGGAGUCAUUUCUGAAGGCUUAUAAUGUUAUGGAUAGAGAACUCAAAAGCUAUACAAAUAUUGAUUGCUUCUGUAGUGGAGCAACAGCUGUAACCCUGGUUAAACAGAGUAAGAAUCUUGUUAUUGAUAAUAUUGGGGACUCUAGAGUUGUGCUGGCUACGAGAGGCGAGGAUGAUUCUCUCACUGCAGUGCAAUUGACAGUAGACCUUAAGACGGAUUUACCAGGUGCAUACAUGUCUAUAUCUUGCUAUCUACAUAGUGACAUUUUUUUUUUCGAAAUUGUGUUGAUCAACAAAAUUACCACUUAAUUUCUGUUCAUUUAAUGAACUUAUCUAUCUCUCGAUAAAUGUUAUGUUAGCUAUUCUGAGUUAAACUGUUGCAAAUAGCCAUCAGAUUUGAAAUGGCGCCAUGCUGUUACAAUCUUACACAUUCAUGCAUCCUCCCUCCCCAAGAAAAAAGUGUGUUUAUCUCCCAACUGUUAUAUCCCUUUCCCUUCCUGGUGUUGGCCUCUGUGCGUCUCUACAAAUUUCAGCUUUCAGUCAAGCCUUCUCAGAUUUUUUAUGACAAAAUCAAGAAAACAUAAAUGUUAGCUAUUUGAGAUAAGUUGAUAAUGGUCAAAACUGUGAACUUUUGGGUUCAUUGGUUAAAGAGAUAGAACGAUUAGGAUCUCAUCCGUCAACGGUGGCGAGUAUAUCUUAUAGAGUAAAGUUGUUGUAGUGUGGGUCGAAUUAUCAAUUCAUAUAUGAAAUCAGUCAAUCGAUCAACUCUAAUCUCGGACUAGUUGAGGUUGUCUAUUCUAAUCCUCUAUAUCAUCUACCCUACUGAUAAAAUUUCACACUUUACAAUGAUCAUCUACAAUUUGCUUAUUUCUUUUAUUAUAAGUAGUGGUUAGUUGUUAUAAUUUUGGAGUGCAUAUGAUCAUUCAAGUAUCAACAAUUUCAUUUGGUUUCAACUGUCCUAGUAAAACAUAAACUACAACUUCUAAACUUCUUUAAUUAGCUAUAGAUAUUUAAAUAUAUCAUUUCUUGAAUACACUUUUCUUAUGUAAAGAUAGUUUGACUAACACAAGGAUUAUUGUCUGUAUGUGAAAUUUUACACCCCCUUGAAAUGCUGAAUGUUCUCUCCCAUGUGAUUGCAUACAUACAUGGUCAUGAUGGAAAAUCUUUCGUUGAUGAAUGUUCCCGAAUCAUCCAUAAAAGAUUUGAAGAAAUAUUACGAGAAAAAACAUUAUCAGAAUCUGAUAUUGAUCAAUUUGAAGCAUAUUACUAAGCUGUCGGAGGAGAAAAGAAGCGAAGAGUAUUUGGUCUUGGAUCUGAAGCAAAAGGCUACUACGGGCAAACUCUUUGUGUUUCUUGUGGAAAGAUAUCAUCUUUAGCUUCUCAUGAAUUGUGUUUAGCUUUUGCUAUCUUUGGUAUUGUGGAUGAUGUGGGUUGUUUUAAGGAUAGUUGGUUGAUGUUUGGUACUAUGGAUGUUUUGGAUAUAAUUAUGUGUUUAGAUGUUGCUAUGUUUGGUAUUGUGGAUGUUUAGAUUUUGCUAUCUAUAUAUGUGGGUUCUUUUA